Molecule: ribosomal RNA, 480 nt
Filed under: uncultured bacterium
Lineage: Bacteria
Description: partial 16S ribosomal RNA
Rfam family: Bacterial small subunit ribosomal RNA
Source: RNAcentral
GACGAACGCUGGCGGCGUGCUUAACACAUGCAAGUCGAACGGAAAGUGCUCUUCGGAGUGACUCGAGUGGCGAACGGGUGAGUAACACGUGGGUGAUCUGCCCUGCACUUUGGGAUAAGCCUGGGAAACUGGGUCUAAUACCGAAUAGGACCAUGGCCUUCAUGGGUUGUGGUGGAAAGCUUUUGCGGUGUGGGAUGGGCCCGCGGCCUAUCAGCUUGUUGGUGGGGUAAUGGCCUACCAAGGCGACGACGGGUAGCCGGCCUGAGAGGGUGACCGGCCACACUGGGACUGAGAUACGGCCCAGACUCCUACGGGAGGCAGCAGUGGGGAAUAUUGCACAAUGGGCGCAAGCCUGAUGCAGCGACGCCGCGUGAGGGAUGACGGCCUUCGGGUUGUAAACCUCUUUCAGUAGGGACGAAGCGCAAGUGACGGUACCUAUAGAAGAAGGACCGGCCAACUACGUGCCAGCCGCCGCGGUAA